Long non-coding RNA from Nyctereutes procyonoides (raccoon dog), 827 nucleotides. RefSeq lists it as uncharacterized. The record is from RefSeq and is a predicted model, not a curated record. NCBI's taxonomy places the organism in Eukaryota, Metazoa, Chordata, Mammalia, Carnivora, Canidae. The transcript has 3 exons.
GUGGGCCUCGGUCCCACUCCAGCAGCUCCAGCAGCAGCAACAGCAGUAACAGCAGCAGCAGCGCCUGGAGGUGUGGAGGCCAGUAAAGGGGGCGGCGGAAGAGGAGGAUUCAUCGUCUGAAUUCAACCGCUGUUGGCUUUUGCAAUGACAUGCUGCCUCACUUGGGAUGCCACUGUGAACCAAACUGACCUUUCAGAUGGUUAGUCUGAUGCUUGAGGAGCCCACUAGCAAUUCUCCUGAAGAUUCUGGGAAGAUUGUGGUGCCAAAAAAGAAUGGGACGGAAAUCUGCACGAGGCCACACAACACUUGAGACUUCCAACUUCUUCAGCUCUUGGAACUAAAAGUGAGGUUGUCACCCAAAUGGCCAUUCUUGCAAGUGGUCUCCAGAGCCCGAGUGAACUCACCUCUCCCUUCAGGGUUUCACCAGCCCUGCUGCAAAAAGGUGCUGCCGACAAAAUUUUCUAAAGUAAAAACUAAAGAUGCAUGGUCUGACAAAAAAAUGAUCUGACAUUUCUGUUCCUAACACUUUAAAUCCUCUUACUCUGCUACAUUUUUCUUUAUGGUGUUUACAGUUCAAUUCAUAUCUAUCCAUGCAUAUAUACAUGAUGUUCUAUUAGGUACCUAUUUUUUUGCUGUAUAGAGACAGUUGCCUCUUCUAUUAAAGUGAGGAAUGGGAUCAUAUUCAUUUUACUCAUUGCUGUAUCCUCAGUGCCUGAAAAUGUACCUGGCAUGAGGUAAGUACUUACCUAAUUUUUGUUUAAUGAAUAAACGAAGUUUUUGUUGCUUAUGUAGAGAAUGGAAUGGACUAUCUGAAAUAGAGAUUAAUU